GACGAACGCUGGCGGCGUGCUUAACACAUGCAAGUCGAACGGAAAGGCCCUGCUUUUGUGGGGUGCUCGAGUGGCGAACGGGUGAGUAACACGUGAGUAACCUGCCCUUGACUUUGGGAUAACUUCAGGAAACUGGGGCUAAUACCGGAUAGGAGCUCCUGCUGCAUGGUGGGGGUUGGAAAGUUUCGGCGGUUGGGGAUGGACUCGCGGCUUAUCAGCUUGUUGGUGGGGUAGUGGCUUACCAAGGCUUUGACGGGUAGCCGGCCUGAGAGGGUGACCGGCCGGAGUGGGGAUUAGUGCAGGGCGGGCGGCCGCCGGGCGGCGGAAGUGGGGGUGAUGGAUGAGGGCGCGGAGGUUGAACGCAGCAACGGCGGGUGCGGGAUGGUGGGUGUCGGUAUGGAGACAAGUUGCGCCUGCGAAGUAGCGGGAGGCACGGGGAUUAAUAGAGCAGCACGCACUAGCUAGGUC
This 468-nucleotide ribosomal RNA is filed under the name uncultured bacterium. Its description in RNAcentral is "partial 16S ribosomal RNA". The stretch from base 20 to 332 matches the Rfam family "Bacterial small subunit ribosomal RNA", at positions 47 to 358 of the family's 1533-position model. The record is from RNAcentral.